This 497-nucleotide ribosomal RNA is filed under the name uncultured bacterium. RNAcentral describes it as "partial 16S ribosomal RNA". It matches the Rfam family "Bacterial small subunit ribosomal RNA", at positions 28 to 507 of the family's 1533-position model. The record is from RNAcentral.
GAUGAACGCUGGCGGCGUGCCUAAUACAUGCAAGUCGAGCGAACGGACGAGAAGCUUGCUUCUCUGAUGUUAGCGGCGGACGGGUGAGUAACACGUGGAUAACCUACCUAUAAGACUGGGAUAACUUCGGGAAACCGGAGCUAAUACCGGAUGAUAUUUUGAACCGCAUGGUUCAAAAGUGAAAGACGGUCUUGCUGUCACUUAUAGAUGGAUCCGCGCCGCAUUAGCUAGUUGGUAAGGUAACGGCUUACCAAGGCAACGAUGCAUAGCCGACCUGAGAGGGGGAUCGGCCACACUGGAACUGAGGCACGGUCCAGACUCCUACGGGAGGCAGCAGUAGGGAAUCUUCCGCAAUGGGCGAAAGCCUGACGGAGCAACGCCGCGUGAGUGAUGAAGGUCUUCGGAUCGUAAAACUCUGUUAUUAGGGAAGAACAUAUGUGUAAGUAACUGUGCACAUCUUGACGGUACCUAAUCAGAAAGCCACGGCUAACUACGUG